This 444-nucleotide long non-coding RNA is filed under the name Salmo salar (Atlantic salmon). Its description in RNAcentral is "lncRNA (ENSSSAG00000113953.1)". The record is from RNAcentral. Lineage: Eukaryota; Metazoa; Chordata; Actinopteri; Salmoniformes; Salmonidae.
AUCUAGCCCACCUAUAGAAUGUCACUGUCACAGCUUCAAUAGCUGCCUGCGUAAAUGCUUAGGAGCAGGCUUCCAGGAGCCUGCCUGUUACGUGAAUGCAGUAAGAAGCCAAGGCAUUUGUGUUUUGGAAUCCAGGCGACGCUGUCUCCCUCCCACAGUUGCAGGCGGCUGUGGCCUCUCCCGCUGCCAGUUGGUCUCUCCAGGGAUUAAAACCACAGACCGGUUUAAACUGGUUCUCAGGGAAGUGCUUUAUGUCUCCUAUGGAAUCUUGGGAAGGGUCAUGUGGAGCUCUGCUCUGAUGUCACAGUGGAUGAAAAAGACCUUGAGUCAGCAGCUUUCUUGUUCUGAUGGGAGAAGUGUGUACACAGGUAUACAGUGGCUGCCCCAAUGAUUGUUUAGAACCUCUAUAAGGGGAGAGAUGAGGCAAUUAUAUUUAAAAGUCAG